AAAAGUCGUAACAAGGUUUCCGUAGGUGAACCUGCGGAAGGAUCAUUAUCGAGUUUUGAACGGGUUGUAGCUGGCCUCUCACGAGGCAUGUGCACGCCUGGCUCAUCCACUCUUAACCUCUGUGCACUUUAUGUAAGAGAAAAAAAUGGUGGAAGCUUCCAGGAUCUCGCGAGAGGUCUUCGGUUGAACAAGCCGUUUUUCUUUCUUAUGUUUUACUACAAACGCUUCAGUCAUAGAAUGUCAACUGUGUAUAACACAUUUAUAUACAACUUUCAGCAACGGAUCUCUUGGCUCUCGCAUCGAUGAAGAACGCAGCGAAAUGCGAUAAGUAAUGUGAAUUGCAGAAUUCAGUGAAUCAUCGAAUCUUUGAACGCACCUUGCACUCCUUGGUAUUCCGAGGAGUAUGCCUGUUUGAGUCUCAUGGUAUUCUCAACCCCUAAAUUUUUGUAAUGAAGGUUUAGCGGGCUUGGACUUGGAGGUUGUGUCGGCCCUUGUCGGUCGACUCCUCUGAAAUGCAUUAGCGUGAAUCUUACGGAUCGCCUUCAGUGUGAUAAUUAUCUGCGCUGUGGUGUUGAAGUAUUUAUGGUGUUCAUGCUUCGAACCGUCUCCCUUGCCGAGACAAUCAUUUGACAAUCUGAGCUCAAAUCCA
RNAcentral lists this ribosomal RNA (649 nucleotides) under uncultured fungus. RNAcentral's name for it is "eukaryotic LSU rRNA". The stretch from base 268 to 421 matches the Rfam family "5.8S ribosomal RNA". The record is from RNAcentral. Lineage: Eukaryota; Fungi.